RNAcentral lists this long non-coding RNA (1057 nucleotides) under Oryza sativa (Asian cultivated rice). RNAcentral's name for it is "long non-coding RNA (OSAT_LNC000294)". The record is from RNAcentral. Lineage: Eukaryota; Viridiplantae; Streptophyta; Magnoliopsida; Poales; Poaceae.
GCAGACCUCGACACUGAUAGAUGUGCUUGAUUAGCAUUACAAUAGUAUUACAAUCUCGACGAAAUAAAAAAAAUAAACAUUCUAUAAAGUUACAUUAGAAUAAGGAUAACAUUGUACAAUUAAACGAUGAAGAAAGUGAGUGUAAUAUAUAUAUGAAUUGAAGCUAUAAACUUUAGUAGAUCUUAUCGCGCAAAUGCCGAUCAUCCUGCUAGUUUGUUUGCAAGACAGUAAGGAAAUACCUAUGUCAAAUUAUGCCUACACAAGGAUUAAAACCUUGGUCAAUGGAGUUGUUUGCCCCCAUAACUCCAUCACCACACCUACAAUACUUCUCCGUAAAAUUAAGGUGCAAACUUUGUACUUGGCUCUGCUCAAAUCCUAGCAACAAGGAGGGUCGUGUCUCGGGUCUGAAACAUAUAUAUAACUCCAAGUCAGAUUAAAUCGUGGACGUGAGAGAAAAUGAUAGGAGAGUAUAUAUGCUCAUCAGUUUAAUUAAUUAGCGUAGCUUCUCUAGUAGUCUAGUUCCUGGUGAUAACACAUUAACACUUGAAUAAACUGCACAUAUCAGAAUAUAUAUAGAUCCAUUUACUACACAAACAAUAAGUUCUGGAUCAUAUUAUAACUGGGGUAUUUUUAUUAUUCUUGAAAAUUAAAGGUACCGAGACCUAGAGAUACCAUUUUUUUAAUGUAAAGCUUAGUACAUCCAUGAACUAGCUAGAUAUCUCAAGUUAAAACUUUUAGUAUAAAAAUUUGAUACCUUCAUGUAUUUUUUUUAAUAAAAGGACUAUAAAAUUAAUCUCUCUUAGCUUACGACUUACCCCACAAAGGAUUACCGCCACCCGAGCUGAUACGAUUUUGUAGGAUUCGACGAGACCGUGUCGAUUUGCUUGGAGCUAAGAGGAGAUGGCCUUCAUGCUUCUCCCUGCCCAUGAUCAGUAGCUCGGCAGAAUUGCCUCCGGUGGCGAGCGUACAUGGCAGAAAUGGCAUAAUCUGCAGUAGUAAAAGGGACAUCACUAGAGCUGCCUGCAACCUGAUGCGAAGCCUAGCAGCUCCCAUCGAA